UUUGGUUUUGAUAUUAAUACAGUUUGGUUUGGUUUAAAAAAAUUGUCAAACCGUAUUUUACGGUACGGUUUGGUUUGAUUUUAAUGUCAAACUGCACCAAACCAAACCGCAAACACCCGUAGUUAAAAUUUUCUCUUUUCUCUCAAUUUUUUUUAUUAAAUUUUCUUUUUUCUUUAGUUUUUUUAUUUUAUUUUAUUUUUUCAAAAAACCUUAACUUCAUGAAAAAAAA
Molecule: long non-coding RNA, 229 nt
Filed under: Salvia miltiorrhiza (redroot sage)
Lineage: Eukaryota; Viridiplantae; Streptophyta; Magnoliopsida; Lamiales; Lamiaceae
Description: long non-coding RNA (SMIL_LNC012565)
Source: RNAcentral